Molecule: long non-coding RNA, 1104 nt
Filed under: Callithrix jacchus (white-tufted-ear marmoset)
Lineage: Eukaryota; Metazoa; Chordata; Mammalia; Primates; Cebidae
Description: lncRNA (ENSCJAG00000084542.1)
Source: RNAcentral
AUGGAUGUAUUUCCUUUUCCAGUUGUCCUUUCAGGCCCUCGGUGCAGUGUUAAGCUGAAGGCUUCUGUCUUCUCAAAGUUCCUCACUGUUUCUCUCAUGUACUCUCCACCUUCCUCUUCUGAAAUCCCAGCAGAUGAUCACGUGUCUCCAGGCUCAAGGCUCUGCACCACUGAGGACUCCCCUCCUCUCCUCUCUGCUCUGAGAUCUGUCAUUAUUCUUCAGCGUCCAUGUUUCCACACCUCUGAGGACUCCCCUCCUCUCCUCUCUGCUGUGAGAUCUGUCAUUAUCCUUCAGUGUCCACGUUUCCACGCCGCUGAGGACUCCCCUCCUCUCCUCUCUGCUUGGAGAUCUGUCAUUAUUCAGCGUCCACGUUUCCACACCUCUGAGGACUCCCCUCCUCUCCUCUCUGCUGUGAGAUCUGUCAUUAUCCUUCAGUGUCCACGUUUCCAUGCCGCUGAGGACUCCCCUCCUCUCCUCUCUGCUCUGAGAUCUGUGAUCGUCCUUCAGCGUCCACGUUUCCACACCUCUGAGGACUCCCCUCCUCUCCUCUCUGCUCUGAGAUCUGUCAUUAUCCUUCAGUGUCCACAUUUCCAUGCCACUGAGGACUCCCCUCCUCUCCUCUCUGCUCUGAGAUCUGUCAUUAUCCUUCAGUGUCCACAUUUCCAUGCCACUGAGGACUCCCCUCCUCUCCUCUCUGCUCUGAGAUCUGUCAUUAUCCUUCAGUGUCCACAUUUCCAUGCCACUGAGGACUCCCCUCCUCUCCUCUCUGCUCGGAGAUCUGUCAUUAUUCAGUGUCCACGUUUCCACACCACUGAGGACUCCCUUCCUCUCCUCUCUGCUCUGAGAUCUGUGAUCGUCCUUCAGCGUCCAUGUUUCCACACCACUGAGGACUCCCUUCCUCUCCUCUCUGCUCUGAGAUCUGUGAUCGUCCUUCAGCGUCCAUGUUUCCACACCACUGAGGACUCCCUUCCUCUCCUCUCUGCUCUGAGAUCUGAGAUCGUCCUUCAGCGUCCACGUUUCCACACCACUGAGGACUCCCCUCCUCUCCUCUCUGCUCUGAGAUCUGUGAUCGUUCCUUCAGCGUCCAUGUUUCCACACCACUGA